RNAcentral lists this ribosomal RNA (2890 nucleotides) under Pseudomonas hefeiensis. RNAcentral's name for it is "23S ribosomal RNA". It matches the Rfam family "Bacterial large subunit ribosomal RNA". The record is from RNAcentral. Lineage: Bacteria; Pseudomonadati; Pseudomonadota; Gammaproteobacteria; Pseudomonadales; Pseudomonadaceae.
GGUCAAGUGAAGAAGCGCAUACGGUGGAUGCCUUGGCAGUCAGAGGCGAUGAAAGACGUGGUAGCCUGCGAAAAGCUUCGGGGAGUCGGCAAACAGACUGUGAUCCGGAGAUGUCUGAAUGGGGGAACCCAGCCAUCAUAAGAUGGUUAUCUUGUACUGAAUACAUAGGUGCAAGAGGCGAACCAGGGGAACUGAAACAUCUAAGUACCCUGAGGAAAAGAAAUCAACCGAGAUUCCCUUAGUAGUGGCGAGCGAACGGGGACUAGCCCUUAAGUGGCUUUGAGAUUAGCGGAACGCUCUGGAAAGGGCGGCCAUAGUGGGUGAUAGCCCUGUACGCGAAAAUCUCUUAGUCAUGAAAUCGAGUAGGACGGAGCACGAGAAACUUUGUCUGAAUAUGGGGGGACCAUCCUCCAAGGCUAAAUACUACUGACUGACCGAUAGUGAACUAGUACCGUGAGGGAAAGGCGAAAAGAACCCCGGAGAGGGGAGUGAAAUAGAUCCUGAAACCGUAUGCGUACAAGCAGUGGGAGCCCACUUUGUUGGGUGACUGCGUACCUUUUGUAUAAUGGGUCAGCGACUUAUUUUCAGUGGCGAGCUUAACCGAAUAGGGGAGGCGUAGCGAAAGCGAGUCUUAAUAGGGCGUCUAGUCGCUGGGAAUAGACCCGAAACCGGGCGAUCUAUCCAUGGGCAGGUUGAAGGUUGGGUAACACUAACUGGAGGACCGAACCGACUACCGUUGAAAAGUUAGCGGAUGACCUGUGGAUCGGAGUGAAAGGCUAAUCAAGCUCGGAGAUAGCUGGUUCUCCUCGAAAGCUAUUUAGGUAGCGCCUCAUGUAUCACUGUAGGGGGUAGAGCACUGUUUCGGCUAGGGGGUCAUCCCGACUUACCAAACCGAUGCAAACUCCGAAUACCUACAAGUGCCGAGCAUGGGAGACACACGGCGGGUGCUAACGUCCGUCGUGAAAAGGGAAACAACCCAGACCGUCAGCUAAGGUCCCAAAGUUAUGGUUAAGUGGGAAACGAUGUGGGAAGGCUUAGACAGCUAGGAGGUUGGCUUAGAAGCAGCCACCCUUUAAAGAAAGCGUAAUAGCUCACUAGUCGAGUCGGCCUGCGCGGAAGAUGUAACGGGGCUCAAACCAUACACCGAAGCUACGGGUAUCACUUAGGUGAUGCGGUAGAGGAGCGUUCUGUAAGCCUGUGAAGGUGAGUUGAGAAGCUUGCUGGAGGUAUCAGAAGUGCGAAUGCUGACAUGAGUAACGACAAUGGGUGUGAAAAACACCCACGCCGAAAGACCAAGGUUUCCUGCGCAACGUUAAUCGACGCAGGGUUAGUCGGUCCCUAAGGCGAGGCUGAAAAGCGUAGUCGAUGGAAAACAGGUUAAUAUUCCUGUACUUCUGGUUAUUGCGAUGGAGGGACGGAGAAGGCUAGGCCAGCUUGGCGUUGGUUGUCCAAGUUUAAGGUGGUAGGCUGGAAUCUUAGGUAAAUCCGGGAUUCUAAGGCCGAGAGCUGAUGACGAGUUACCCUUUGGGUGACGAAGUGGUUGAUGCCAUGCUUCCAAGAAAAGCUUCUAAGCUUCAGGUAACCAGGAACCGUACCCCAAACCGACACAGGUGGUUGGGUAGAGAAUACCAAGGCGCUUGAGAGAACUCGGGUGAAGGAACUAGGCAAAAUGGCACCGUAACUUCGGGAGAAGGUGCGCCGGUGAGGGUGAAGCACUUGCUGCGUAAGCCCACGCCGGUCGAAGAUACCAGGCCGCUGCGACUGUUUAUUAAAAACACAGCACUCUGCAAACACGAAAGUGGACGUAUAGGGUGUGACGCCUGCCCGUGCCGGAAGGUUAAUUGAUGGGGUUAGCUAACGCGAAGCUCUUGAUCGAAGCCCCGGUAAACGGCGGCCGUAACUAUAACGGUCCUAAGGUAGCGAAAUUCCUUGUCGGGUAAGUUCCGACCUGCACGAAUGGCGUAACGAUGGCGGCGCUGUCUCCACCCGAGACUCAGUGAAAUUGAAAUCGCUGUGAAGAUGCAGUGUAUCCGCGGCUAGACGGAAAGACCCCGUGAACCUUUACUAUAGCUUUGCACUGGACUUUGAAUUUGCUUGUGUAGGAUAGGUGGGAGGCUUUGAAGCGUGGACGCCAGUUCGCGUGGAGCCAACCUUGAAAUACCACCCUGGCAACUUUGAGGUUCUAACUCAGGUCCGUUAUCCGGAUCGAGGACAGUGUAUGGUGGGUAGUUUGACUGGGGCGGUCUCCUCCUAAAGAGUAACGGAGGAGUACGAAGGUGCGCUCAGACCGGUCGGAAAUCGGUCGUAGAGUAUAAAGGCAAAAGCGCGCUUGACUGCGAGACAGACACGUCGAGCAGGUACGAAGUAGGUCUUAGUGAUCCGGUGGUUCUGUAUGGAAGGGCCAUCGCUCAACGGAUAAAAGGUACUCCGGGGAUAACAGGCUGAUACCGCCCAAGAGUUCAUAUCGACGGCGGUGUUUGGCACCUCGAUGUCGGCUCAUCACAUCCUGGGGCUGAAGCCGGUCCCAAGGGUAUGGCUGUUCGCCAUUUAAAGUGGUACGCGAGCUGGGUUUAGAACGUCGUGAGACAGUUCGGUCCCUAUCUGCCGUGGACGUUUGAGAUUUGAGAGGGGCUGCUCCUAGUACGAGAGGACCGGAGUGGACGAACCUCUGGUGUUCCGGUUGUCACGCCAGUGGCAUUGCCGGGUAGCUAUGUUCGGAAAAGAUAACCGCUGAAAGCAUCUAAGCGGGAAACUUGCCUCAAGAUGAGAUCUCACUGGGACCUUGAGUCCCCUGAAGGGCCGUCGAAGACUACGACGUUGAUAGGUGGGGUGUGUAAGCGCUGUGAGGCGUUGAGCUAACCCAUACUAAUUGCCCGUGAGGCUUGACCAU